GAAAACUAGUAGAAAAGGAAAAGC
Molecule: non-coding RNA, 24 nt
Filed under: Cricetulus griseus (Chinese hamster)
Lineage: Eukaryota; Metazoa; Chordata; Mammalia; Rodentia; Cricetidae
Source: RNAcentral